ACCGGGGAGGGUCAUUUGGAAACUGGGGAAACUUUGAGUGCAGAAGAGGAGAGUGGAAUUCCACGUGUAGCGGUGAAAUGCGUAGAGAUGUGGAGGAACACCAGUGGCGAAGGCGACUCUCUGGUCUGUAACUGACGCUGAGGAGCGAAAGCGUGGGGAGCGAACAGGAUUAGAUACCCUGGUAGUCCACGCCGUAAACGAUGAGUGCUAAGUGUUAGGGGGUUUCCGCCCCUUAGUGCUGCAGCUAACGCAUUAAGCACUCCGCCUGGGGAGUACGGUCGCAAGACUGAAACUCAAAGGAAUUGACGGGGGCCCGCACAAGCGGUGGAGCAUGUGGUUUAAUUCGAAGCAACGCGAAGAACCUUACCAGGUCUUGACAUCCUCUGACAAUCCUAGAGAUAGGACGUCCCCUUCGGGGGCAGAGUGACAGGUGGUGCAUGGUUGUCGUCAGCUCGUGUCGUGAGAUGUUGGGUUAAGUCCCGCAACGAGCGCAACCCUUGAUCUUAGUUGCCAGCAUUCAGUUGGGCACUCUAAGGUGACUGCCGGUGACAAACCGGAGGAAGGUGGGGAUGACGUCAAAUCAUCAUGCCCCUUAUGACCUGGGCUACACACGUGCUACAAUGGACAGAACAAAGGGCAGCGAAACCGCGAGGUUA
RNAcentral lists this ribosomal RNA (656 nucleotides) under Bacillus subtilis. Its description in RNAcentral is "bacterial SSU rRNA". It matches the Rfam family "Bacterial small subunit ribosomal RNA", at positions 611 to 1265 of the family's 1533-position model. Lineage: Bacteria; Bacillati; Bacillota; Bacilli; Caryophanales; Bacillaceae. The record is from RNAcentral.